CCUACGGGUGGCAGCAGUGGGGGAUAUUGCACAAUGGGGGAAACCCUGAUGCAGCGACGCCGCGUGUGGGAAGACGGUCCUCUGGAUUGUAAACCACUGUCCCCAGGGACGAAGAUGACGGUACCUGGGGAGGAAGCUCCGGCUAACUACGUGCCAGCAGCCGCGGUAAUACGUAGGGAGCGAGCGUUGUCCGGAAUUACUGGGUGUAAAGGGAGCGUAGGCGGGACUGCAAGUUGGGUGUCAAAUCGUGGGGCUCAACCCCAUCCAGCCGUUGAAACUGGGGAUCUAGAGUGUGCGAGAGGUAUGCGGAAUGCGUGGUGUAGCGGUGAAAUGCAUAGAUAUCACGCAGAACCCCGAUUGCGAAGGCAGCAUACCGGUGCACAACUGACGCUCAGGCACGAAAGCGUGGGUAUCGAACAGGAUUAGAUACCCUUGUAGUC
RNAcentral lists this ribosomal RNA (440 nucleotides) under uncultured bacterium. RNAcentral describes it as "partial 16S ribosomal RNA". It matches the Rfam family "Bacterial small subunit ribosomal RNA", at positions 338 to 795 of the family's 1533-position model. The record is from RNAcentral.